RNAcentral lists this ribosomal RNA (253 nucleotides) under uncultured bacterium. RNAcentral describes it as "partial 16S ribosomal RNA". It matches the Rfam family "Bacterial small subunit ribosomal RNA", at positions 524 to 776 of the family's 1533-position model. The record is from RNAcentral.
UACGUAGGGGGCGAGCGUUGUUCGGAAUUACUGGGCGUAAAGGGCGCGCAGGCGGCUCUGAGAGUCAGAUGUGAAAGCCCCGGGCUUAACCUGGGAAGUGCAUUUGAUACUCUGGAGCUUGAGUACGGGAGAGGAGAGUGGAAUUCCCAGUGUAGAGGUGAAAUUCGUAGAUAUUGGGAAGAACACCGGUGGCGAAGGCGGCUCUCUGGACCGUAACUGACGCUGAGGCGCGAAAGCGUGGGGAGCAAACAGG